CAGAGAUUGUCUUCAUAUAGAAGUCUCUUCCCACUGCUAUGGGGAUGAUGAAGAUGCUGAGGCUGAGGAGAUCUGCACACUCACCUGAUGCCAGAGCAGAAGCAGUGCUCUAUUCCACUGUGAGACAAUCGUAGCCUGCUAGAAGUUUCAUGGGUGGCUCAGAGCAAAGCUUGGUGACUCUUUGAAUGUCUCACUGGCAGGAGGGAAGUAAUUUCUCCAGCUUCAGCACAUGAUGAGCUUGUUGUGGCUGGGGUGAGGGGGUGGCUGGAGGUGAGCUGCCGGGAAGGUGUGCAGCAGAGGGCAGCAGCUCACAAGCACACACACACCUGCACCCACAGCUGCCACACCUAACACACACCCCAACAACACUUCUUCCCAUCAGACACGGACUGGCAAGUUUUGGAUCUCUGCAGAAGCUGCCGUCUUGACCUUCUCAUCUGGAAUUAAGGCUUGUCUGAUUUGAAACACUGGAGUGAUACUCUGGGGCUGUUUCCAUUGCAGCACAUGAGGUGAUUAUAUUUGGAUUUGUUUCUUGGAGAAGACCCAGAAAAGGAACUGUAAUGGAAAGUCCUGCAAUCAUGAUACUCCUGAGACUCCAUUAACAAGCACCAUUACAUCACUGCUCACUUAAAGAAGGUCAGUGCACCCUUCCUUUUUCUGUAGAGUGCUGUGGGGUUGAGGAGGCUGCAGACACACAUACAAACCUGUCUUGUUUGCUGUCUGGUUUUCAGAACCCAUAGACAUGUGGGUGGAGAGAGUGGGCAAUAUCACUCUGUAUCUCAAAGCAGCAAAUAUUUUACCACCUGCAGAUAAGUAGUUCAAACUGUGGGAGCCAUUCAAGGGAAGGGUCUGCACUGAAAAAUUAGUAAAAAACAUGACCAAACCAGAUGAAAUGAAUGUGCAAAUGGUUCUGUUUUUUAUCUUAUAGCAGAAAAUAGCAGAAAAAUAACUCAAAUCAUGCUUUUAGAUCUAUAAUUAAAAAAAAAAAAAAUAAAGCAAACAAAUCCUCAAAACUUCCUGCUCUAAUUUUAGGAUUCAUCGAUUUCCUUUCUUUCUCUCACUCUUGUUUUAAGAUCCUGCUGCAUUUAAAAGUUUUGGGAGUUGUUUUGUUUUUAAUCACAAUUUUCUUUCCUAUGUCUUGACCCGCACAAAAAAACUUACUUAGGUUUUCUGUGUCAGUAGUACUGUUCUGCCCCAGGGUCUUUUAGAGUAAACUUCUAGAUGAAGAGACUGUAAUUGGUACCAAAAAGUCUGCCUGAGUAUUCAGAGACUAAAAUAAAUUUGAACUGUCUCCAUGCUUUUCAGUAAACAUUAAAUGAACUCUGGUGAUCUCAAAUAGCAGCAAGGUUAACUGUUUCACUCAUGAUCAAGAUGUGUGGAGAAAGAGCAUUGACACCUGUAAUGAUGAGCACUGCUUGCCACAACUGGUAACUGUGCUCUGCCAAGCUUGGCAUUGAGGCCAUCCCGGGAAAGUUUUGGGUUUUUUGGGUUUUUCCAAGCUGACUUGAGGGAGCACCACACUGGAAGGAUUCAGGAAGAACCCUUUGAUCAUUCCUCGAGCAUCCACUCAAACUGUGGUGUUUAACACCAUGUUUCACUGCUCAGGGUGAGGCAGACUGCUUUGCUGAAGGUUUGUCUGCAAAAUACAAAUAUUAAGCCUGGAAAAAUACCACACCAUUUUUUAAUUCCCCAAGAGUUAUUGAAUCAUACAAUAAUUUGGGUUGGAAGGGACCUUUAAAGGUCACCUGAUGCAACUCCUCUGCAGUGAGCAGGACAAGAAAAAGAAACAGCUCAAAAUCAGAUCUCACCUGAAGAAAGCAUGUGUAAUAUCAUGUUUGGAUUGAUUGAUUUCUUGCUGAUGUUUUGGUAGAUCUGAAUUUUCAAGAGCAGAUGUAUAAAGAUGUUUGAGAGUUAGUAUGAGCACAGCAGUGAUAAUACAACAGUCACAAGUAUUAAGAUGCAGGACACCACCUCUGCUGAAGAAAGAAGAUAAAAAUUUGAAGUAGGUCAGAAACAGAUCCUGAGAGGUGGAGAAAUAUUGAAAAUAUAUACCAUAAAAAGGAGAUUUCUCCCUUCUGUAUGAUACCAUCCAGCCUCUUGAACGUGACAGGAGUUCUUUCUUGGGGCCUUCAACAUUUAAUAAUAAAAACCAUCAUCAGCAAUAAAUGAUUUCACAAGCAGAAAAGAUUUCAAGAAGUGAGACAAGGUGUUGGACCUUUUGGAAAGAGAUCAUAAUUUUAGCAGCCUGGACAUAAUUUUUUAGGCCUGGACAGAGACUUUCAAACAUUGAGAUAUGAUGUUGUUUUAAAUAGUCGCAGGCCAUUUAUCAGUCUUCAUGUUUGAAUUAUGUUCUUUAUUUGGCCAUAUUUCUAAAUAUGUUAUGAGAACAACAUUUCUAGGAAUUAUGGUUUGCUUCAUAUUGAGAAACAAAGUGGAAUCAAUCUGUUUUCUAGUUAUACAAUAUGGACUGGGUUGAGAGAGGUUUUCGGCUUUGUCUGGAGUUUUGUCUGAAACUGAAUAACAAAGUGGAAUUUUCUUGGAAGUUCAGUGUUUGCAGGUGUUGUAUGCCUGGAAUUAUUUCAAGAAAAACAUCUGGAAUUUCGUCUUCAAGAGAAACAAAGCCCUGGAAGCUGCAAUGAGUUGUCCAAAAUCACAUAGACUCUCAGAGUAAAAUCAGGAGGAAAACCCAGCCCUUCUAAUCCUGUCAUUACAUGCAUCUUGCAUUUUCAUUCUUACCAAUCAGUCACCCAGUCAGCCAAAAGUCUUCCUGGAAAGAAACAAUGACAGAAGCCAGAAGAGAUGCAGUUUGGCUCAAAACCAUUUUAGCCAAUAAACAGAUCAUCACAUCAGUGACCUGAUUUCCAGAGGAACAGCUCUCAAAGUCCACAGGAGGUACUCAGCAUGUCUGAAAAUCAAGCCAUAAAUAGAUGUGAAUCUCUCUCUUUUUUUUUCCUCAAAGAACUGAACUGCCAAGUCUCAGCAAACAGCCAAAGAAACCCAGCUUGUUCACAAAUGCUAAUUUAAAGCUGCAUGUGUGUUUGCACAGACUGGAUUGGACUGAAUAAGUCUGAGUCACAAUAAAAGGGAAAUUUAUUAUUCUAAAAGGAAUCUUUAAAUUCUUGGAGGUUUAGGAAGGGGCUAAAAAGGCUGCCAUUUGAGAGAUCUGCAUCUGUGGUAUCUGUGAGUAAGCCUGGAGCGGAAGUAAAGAGGAAAUCCCCCAUACUGCUUAAUGAAAUACUGUUGUGGGAUAAUCACUGCCAAAGAAACUCAUCAGUUCAGACUUUGAGCAUCUUUGUAUGUUAAAGUGCCUGAACAGAGCAAGUGAAACAUGCAUUUCCUGUUUGGGGGACCCUUUUUGCCAAUAUGAAGAUCUGGACUGUUAUUGUGUAGAAAAUAGUAUCAUUUAUGUUGGGGACAGUAGAGGAGAGAUCUGGACUUUAUUAUGUUAUUAUGUCACCUUUCUCAGUGGACUGACUUUCAGUUUGUUUUGAAGAUCUUGAGAACAAGAAACUUUUUCCUAGCGCAAAAGAAGUUAAUAGUUGCACUGUCAUGUUCCUCUCAUGUCUCUUCUUAGUUCUGUGUUUUCUUAGAUCAGAACACCAUUAUGUGCAAAAUAGCUCUAGAAAAAGUGUAAUGGAGGAAGAAAACUCCUGUCUUAAUUCCUCAUCAAAUGUACAGGAAGAAGAAAGAGAAGUCAUUUGUAUUCAGGGCAAAGGAACUUUAGGAUUCUUCCAAAUGGAAGGCACUACUGAGCUAAAAUUAAGACACUGGUGUUUCUCCAAGAUGUCACAGGUCCAGCAAACUAGAUGCCAAAACUAUUUACCUGAAAUAGGAGGGUACAGAUAUGUUCCAAGUCAAUCUAGCUGUACUCUACUUUCAUUUAGUAAAUGAUUCGUAAAUUGUCCCAGAUAUUACAUGAACCAUUACAUGGUUAAUGUUAACAAUUCCUCUCCUGCAUAUAAAUCAGAAUUACUCCACUGAUCACAACAGGCCAAGGUAUAAUAAAGGAAUACAUUAUUCAGGGCAAGAAGAGGGUGUAGAAAACCCAAAGGGAUAAUUGAAUGCAUCACUAGCAAGCUGGCUGAUGUUACUAAACUGGGAGGUGGUCUGCCUCGGUAGGGUGAUCGGAGGUUUGAGCAUUGAGCAAUGAUUAAUGGGAUCAAAUUUAACAAGACCAAACACCAUAUUCUGAAUCUGGGAUGCAGCAACAGUGGGCACAAGUAUGAAUUGGGACAGCAGUGGCUGAGAUCAGCCCUGCAGAUAGGGAUCUGAGGGUGCUGGCUGGGCAGCAGCUCUCCAAGCGCCAGCAGUGACCCCUAAUCCCAUCCUGGGGUACACUAAACACAGCACAACCAGCCAGGAAAAAGCCCACUUUUCUCAGCCUUGGGUGCAAGGCUGGGACUCGCCACUGAAGAAGGAUGUGAAGGUCCCUGAAUGCAUCCCAAGGUGGGCAACAAAGCCAGUGAGAGGACUGGAAGGCAUGCCCUAUGAGGAGCAGCUGUGGGCUCUGGGGCUGUCUGGUUUGGAGGAGAGAAGGCUGAGUGGCGACCUCAUGCUCUCUAACAGCUUCCCGAGAAUGGGAAAGGGGGAGGAGAGUGCUGAGUUCUUCUCCCUGUGAUCAAGAUAGCUUUACCAAGAGGGUGAUCAAACACUGAAAGCAUAUGUUCCUGGAGACAUGAUUGAUGUUCCAAGCCUGCCAGUGUUUAAGAAGCAUUUGGGUAAUGCAGAUAAUAAUAUGUUUUAACUCCUAGUCAUUCCUGAAGCAGCGAGGUAGUUGGACUGGAUGGUCAUUGUAUUUUCCUUCCAGCUUGAACUAUCCUAGCCUAGUCUAUUCUUUAGUUUCCAUUCUGAAGCCUCAUUUUGGCUUGGGAUCCUUCCAUCUUAUAUCUCUCCAUCUUAUAUCUCUCUCUUAUCAUUGCAAGGAGUUAACCUUGCUCCAUAGGACCAAGAUUUUCAGUCAACAUUCUCAGACACAAGAAUAUCCUCUCCCUCCCACAGUAUCUAUCUUUGAUCAAAUAUUUUGGAUUUAUAAUUUUUCAGGUAUCAGAAUGCCAUGUUUAUGCCAUUCUCAGCCGUUCUCUAACUACUAUUCCCUCCCCUGUCCCUGCCAAAUUCCAUUUGCUUCAAAUCUUGUCCA
This is a long non-coding RNA of Motacilla alba alba, 5137 nucleotides long. RefSeq lists it as uncharacterized. NCBI's taxonomy places the organism in Eukaryota, Metazoa, Chordata, Aves, Passeriformes, Motacillidae. The record is from RefSeq and is a predicted model, not a curated record. The transcript is spliced from 4 exons.